CCUACGGGGGGCAGCAGUAGGGAAUCUUCCACAAUGGGCGAAAGCCUGAUGGAGCAACGCCGCGUGGGUGAAGAAGGUCUUCGGAUCGUAAAACCCUGUUGUUAGAGAAGAAAGUGCGUGAGAGUAACUGUUCACGUUUCGACGGUAUCUAACCAGAAAGCCACGGCUAACUACGUGCCAGCAGCCGCGGUAAUACGUAGGUGGCAAGCGUUAUCCGGAUUUAUUGGGCGUAAAGGGAACGCAGGCGGUCUAUUAAGUCUGAUGUGAAAGCCUUCGGCUUAACCGGAGUAGUGCAUUGGAAACUGGGAGACGUGAGUGCAGAAGAGGAGAGUGGAACGCCAUGUGUAGCGGUGAAAUGCGUAGAUAUAUGGAAGAACACCAGUGGCGAAAGCGGCGCUCUGGUCUGUAACUGACGCUGAGGUUCGAAAGCGUGGGUAGCAAACAGGAUUAGAUACCCCGGUAGUC
RNAcentral lists this ribosomal RNA (465 nucleotides) under uncultured bacterium. Its description in RNAcentral is "partial 16S ribosomal RNA". It matches the Rfam family "Bacterial small subunit ribosomal RNA", at positions 338 to 795 of the family's 1533-position model. The record is from RNAcentral.